UAUAAUUUAACUUUUUAUGCUUAUCCCCCCUUAUGAUAUAUGCUUUCUUUGUCUUAAUUUCUUUGCUAUAGAUGGGCAGCCAGAUAUAUCAAGGCCUUUUGGAUCUCAGCCUUGGCAUAGCUGUCACAAACUCAUAUAUGUCAGACCAAAUCCUAAAACUGGGGUUCCUAUAGGUCAUUGGCCUGUUCCAGAGUCUUUUUGGCCAGAUCAAAAUUCGCCAACACUACCACCUCGUACAUCUCAUCCUGUAGUGAAGUUUUCCUGUACAGACUGUGAACCAAUGGUUAUUGAUAAACUUCCUUUUGACAAAUAUGAGUUGGAACCUUCACCACUGACUCAAUUUAUCCUGGAAAGGAAAUCUCCUCAAACAUGUUGGCAGGUGUACGUGAGCAAUAGUGCAAAAUACAGUGAACUUGGUCAUCCUUUUGGUUACUUGAAAGCCAGUACAGCACUGAACUGUGUCAACUUAUUUGUGAUGCCUUACAAUUAUCCAGUCCUUCUUCCCCUCUUAGAUGACUUGUUUAAAGUGCAUAAAGCAAAACCAACAUUGAAGUGGAGACAGUCAUUUGAAAGUUAUUUGAAGACAAUGCCUCCCUACUAUCUUGGGCCCUUGAAGAAAGCUGUUAGGAUGAUGGGAGCACCUAACCUAAUAGCAGACAGUAUGGAAUAUGGACUUAGUUACAGUGUCAUUUCAUACCUCAAAAAACUGAGUCAACAGGCCAAAAUAGAAUCUGAUCGAGUCAUUGGAUCUGUAGGCAAAAAAGUAGUACAGGAGACUGGAAUAAAAGUCCGGAGCCGAUCACAUGGUUUAUCAAUGGCAUAUAGGAAAGAUUUUCAACAACUUCUCCAGGGAAUUUCAGAGGAUGUCCCUCACAGACUGCUAGACCUUAAUAUGAAGGAAUACACUGGGUUCCAAGUUGCUUUGCUGAAUAAG
RNAcentral lists this long non-coding RNA (934 nucleotides) under Pan troglodytes (chimpanzee). Its description in RNAcentral is "long non-coding RNA NONPTRT004477". The record is from RNAcentral. Lineage: Eukaryota; Metazoa; Chordata; Mammalia; Primates; Hominidae.